This 253-nucleotide ribosomal RNA is filed under the name uncultured bacterium. Its description in RNAcentral is "partial 16S ribosomal RNA". It matches the Rfam family "Bacterial small subunit ribosomal RNA", at positions 524 to 776 of the family's 1533-position model. The record is from RNAcentral.
UACAGAGACUGCAAGCGUUAUUCGGAUUCAUUGGGCGUAAAGCGCGCGCAGGUGGUUUCUUAAGUCUGAUGUGAAAGCCCACGGCUCAACCGUGGAGGGUCAUUGGAAACUGGGGAACUUGAGUGCAGGAGAGAAGAGUGGAAUUCCACGUGUAGCGGUGAAAUGCGUAGUGAUGUGGAGGAACACCAGUGGCGAAGGCGACUCUUUGGCCUGUAACUGACACUGAGGCGCGAAAGCGUGGGGAGCAAACAGG